RNAcentral lists this ribosomal RNA (274 nucleotides) under uncultured bacterium. Its description in RNAcentral is "partial 16S ribosomal RNA". It matches the Rfam family "Bacterial small subunit ribosomal RNA", at positions 523 to 796 of the family's 1533-position model. The record is from RNAcentral.
AGACGAACCGUACAAACGUUAUUCGGAAUCACUGGGCUUAAAGGGUGCGUAGGCGGCAUGGUAAGUUGGGUGUGAAAUCCCUCGGCUCAACCGAGGAAUGGCGCCCAAAACUGCUUUGCUUGAGGGAGAUAGAGGUGAGCGGAACUACGGGUGGAGCGGUGAAAUGCGUUGAUAUCCGUAGGAACACCGGUGGCGAAAGCGGCUCACUGGGUCUCUUCUGACGCUGAGGCACGAAAGCUAGGGUAGCGAACGGGAUUAGAUACCCCGGUAGUCC